GGAAGUAAAAGUCGUAACAAGGUCUCCGUUGGUGAACCAGCGGAGGGAUCAUUACAGAGUUGCAAAACUCCCUAAACCAUUGUGAACGUUACCCAAACCGUUGCUUCGGCGGGCGGCGCCCAGCGCCCCUCGGCCCCUCGCGGGCGCCCGCCGGAGGUACCCCCAAACCAUUGAUACUUUAUGGCCUCUCUGAGUCUUCUGUACUGAAUAAGUCAAAACUUUCAACAACGGAUCUCUUGGUUCUGGCAUCGAUGAAGAACGCAGCGAAAUGCGAUAAGUAAUGUGAAUUGCAGAAUUCAGUGAAUCAUCGAAUCUUUGAACGCACAUUGCGCCCGCCAGUAUUCUGGCGGGCAUGCCUGUUCGAGCGUCAUUUCAACCAUCAAGCCCCCGGCUUGUGUUGGGGACCUGCGGCUGCCGCAGGCCCUGAAAAGCAGUGGCGGGCUCGCUGUCACACCGAGCGUAGUAGAUUUUCAUCUCGCUCAGGGCGUGCUGCGGGUUCCGGCCGUUAAACCACCUUCAUAACCCAAGGUUGACCUCGGAUCAGGUAGGAAGACCCGCUGAACUUAAGCAUAUCAAUAAGCGGAGGA
RNAcentral lists this ribosomal RNA (587 nucleotides) under Chaetomium sp. ATT212. Its description in RNAcentral is "eukaryotic LSU rRNA". The stretch from base 217 to 370 matches the Rfam family "5.8S ribosomal RNA". RNAcentral also lists the same sequence under 1 other name. The record is from RNAcentral. Lineage: Eukaryota; Fungi; Ascomycota; Sordariomycetes; Sordariales; Chaetomiaceae.